UACGAAUGGGGCUAGCGUUGCUCGGAAUCACUGGGCGUAAAGGGUGCGUAGGCGGGUCUUUAAGUCAGGGGUGAAAUCCUGGAGCUCAACUCCAGAACUGCCUUUGAUACUGAAGAUCUUGAGUUCGGGAGAGGUGAGUGGAACUGCGAGUGUAGAGGUGAAAUUCGUAGAUAUUCGCAAGAACACCAGUGGCGAAGGCGGCUCACUGGCCCGAUACUGACGCUGAGGCACGAAAGCGUGGGGAGCAAACAGG
This 253-nucleotide ribosomal RNA is filed under the name uncultured bacterium. RNAcentral describes it as "partial 16S ribosomal RNA". It matches the Rfam family "Bacterial small subunit ribosomal RNA", at positions 524 to 776 of the family's 1533-position model. The record is from RNAcentral.